GGGAAAUGAUGAAGAACAAUUGGUCCGUGUUUCUGAAAAUCACGUGAUGAUAUCCAAUGAAACACUCAAAUCUUCUGAUUCC
Non-coding RNA from Triticum aestivum (bread wheat), 82 nucleotides. The record is from Rfam. NCBI's taxonomy places the organism in Eukaryota, Viridiplantae, Streptophyta, Magnoliopsida, Poales, Poaceae.